Molecule: long non-coding RNA, 553 nt
Organism: Mandrillus leucophaeus (drill)
Lineage: Eukaryota; Metazoa; Chordata; Mammalia; Primates; Cercopithecidae
Exons: 2
Source: RefSeq, a predicted model, not a curated record
CAAGUGGCUUCAGUCUCGUGGAUGGAUGCCUCUUCUCAACCCCUCUUCACCUCCUCUGCAGCAGUCUGAUCGGGCUCCGUAGGGGGCCACUCUCCCACCUGCUGGGGCCCGGGAUCUGGGGAAGGACACCAGCAGCAGUCCCCAGAAAAGGGAUCAUCUUGGCCCGGGUCUGGACGCUGGAGAAGGCAGUGCUGCCUGAAAAAGACAGAAAGGGGAAGCGCAUCACUCGGAGCUCAGGGACAACUUUCACGUGUCACUUCUUCCUGCUUCUGGGAAGAGAAAAUGGGGGAAGAGAUGGGGCUUGCUCAAAUGAGGUCCUGCCCAGAACCUCAGGCAGGACGCACCCAGCACCCACUCCCUAUCUGAGGGAGGCAGCCCUGGACUACGAAUUCAAGGGGGUGGUCAAGGUGAGAUUUCUAAGAAAGUUGCCCUCCUCCCAUCCCCCACGGGCUGGUGAGAGUUUCACCAAAAUUCCCCCACACACCCUGGCUGGAGGCCGCCGGGCCCUCCCUCAGGGAGCUGAGCUUUCAAAAUAAAGUUUGCUGAGAGCCUC